UGACGUCAAAUCAUCAUGCCCCUUAUGACCUGGGCUACACACGUGCUACAAUGGUUGGUACAACGAGUUGCGAGUCGGUGACGGCGAGCUAAUCUCUUAAAGCCAAUCUCAGUUUCGGAUUGUAGGCUGCAACUCGCCUACAUGAAGUCGGAAUCGCUAGUAAUCGCGGAUCAGCACGCCGCGGUGAAUACGUUCCCGGGCCUU
RNAcentral lists this ribosomal RNA (204 nucleotides) under uncultured Streptococcus sp. RNAcentral describes it as "partial 16S ribosomal RNA". It matches the Rfam family "Bacterial small subunit ribosomal RNA", at positions 1180 to 1382 of the family's 1533-position model. Lineage: Bacteria; Bacillati; Bacillota; Bacilli; Lactobacillales; Streptococcaceae. The record is from RNAcentral.